UUACGGCCAUACCACCCUGAACACACCCGAUCUCGUCUGAUCUCGGAAGCUAAGCAGGGUGGGGCCUGGUUAGUACUUGGAUGGGAGACCGCCUGGGAAUACCAGGUGCUGUAAG
RNAcentral lists this ribosomal RNA (115 nucleotides) under Merluccius polli (Benguela hake). Lineage: Eukaryota; Metazoa; Chordata; Actinopteri; Gadiformes; Merlucciidae. The record is from RNAcentral.